GACGAACGCUGGCGGCGUGCUUAACACAUGCAAGUCGAACGGAAGGGCCCUGCUUUUGUGGGGUGCUCGAGUGGCGAACGGGUGAGUAACACGUGAGUAACCUGCCCUUGACUUUGGGAUAACUUCAGGAAACUGGGGCUAAUACCGGAUAGGAGCUCCUGCUGCAUGGUGGGGGUUGGAAAGUUUCGGCGGUUGGGGAUGGACUCGCGGCUUAUCAGCUUGUUGGUGGGGUAGUGGCUUACCAAGGCUUUGACGGGUAGCCGGCCUGAGAGGGUGACCGGCCACAUUGGGACUGAGAUACGGCUCAGACUCCUACGGGAGGCAGCAGUGGGGAAUAUUGCACAAUGGGCGGAAGCCUGAUGCAGCAACGCCGCGUGCGGGAUGACGGCCUUCGGGUUGUAAACCGCUUUCGCCUGUGACGAAGCGUGAGUGACGGUAAUGGGUAAAGAAGCACCGGCUAACUACGUG
This 468-nucleotide ribosomal RNA is filed under the name uncultured bacterium. RNAcentral describes it as "partial 16S ribosomal RNA". It matches the Rfam family "Bacterial small subunit ribosomal RNA", at positions 28 to 507 of the family's 1533-position model. The record is from RNAcentral.